Molecule: long non-coding RNA, 1979 nt
Organism: Orcinus orca (killer whale)
Lineage: Eukaryota; Metazoa; Chordata; Mammalia; Artiodactyla; Delphinidae
Exons: 4
Source: RefSeq, a predicted model, not a curated record
CAGGGGAAAACAGAGUGUGCUCAGUGAAUCUCAGGUAAUACAGGAAAAAUACCUAAUAUCAAAAUAUUCUUACUAGUUACCUCUGUGUGGUGGAAUUGAUUUUUAUUUAUUUAUUUUUGUACCUUUUGGAAUACUCUAAAAUCUCUAUCGUAAGCAUGGAUGAUUUUCAUGUUCAAGAAAAAAAUCGUUUUAAAAUUCAGCAUCAAUAACAAAAUCAGCAAAAAGACAGAUCCUUUGAGGCUACAGUCCCACACCAGACCAGGAGGCAGAAAGCCUGAACUGAGGUCUCAAGUCUUAACACCACCUGGCUACACGACCUUGGGUCACACACCUAACCACUGGCAAGGCCGUUACUAAAACGCAGCUCCCCUGAUUUCUGCAUGUGCCCCCUUCCUCCUCAUACUCUUCCUUCCGUGCCCUCCGUGGAUUAGAAGCAUUGCUUCCUUGCGCCAAAGAUAAGAAAAAUGGAGAGUGACUGGGCCAGCUCACGUACGUGUUCCAUUAAGUGAGCAAGGCCACAGAGAAACCUGCACUCCUCAGUGCCAGUGACGUGACUUUCCGAAUGAGCCAAUGCUGCUUGCAGAAACACAGGGCUAAUUGGCUCUUUCGAGGCAGCGGAGAAUCUCGGGGUGAUGCAUUGUGCGCUAUUCAAUGGCGGGUUGCUGUGACAGGGGGCUGCAAAUGCCACUCUGGGGAUGUGUUAAUGAAGGCUCAGCAUGCACAACACAAGAGGCAAUUAUUCUGCUCGCCCUGGCACUGGCUCCUCCUGGAAGGAGAGCUGCCGACAGGGUUGGAAGGAGCUCAGUGGAAAGUUCACCGAGAAAGCCAGAUGGAGAAAGAACAGGACUUGCUGUCUGGACCAGCCAUCGCCAAACAGAUGGUGCGCUUGUCCAUCUGUGCUGCCCUUCUCCUGGAGGACAUGAGGAGGAGGUGGCUCGGUGGGAGAAGAAAGGAGACUCAGCUGGUGGAGGGAAAGAGAUCUGGGCUGCUUCCGGCCGCCUAGAAGCCUCCAUCUCUGAUAAUAACUCUACAGCCUCUGGAGCUGCCUUCCCUCCUGGCCUGGAGAUGCCAUCCAGAUGCCAUCACAUGGCCAAGCAGGUUUAUCUCAGAAGCUACCGGAGUGUGACAGGAAGGGCAUUGACCUUGGAGGCCGCUGGACCGGGGUGUGACUGCCAUCUGCACUGCCUGCUGCCCAGGCCCCUGGGCGGGUCAUGUGGUGUCUCGGCACCUCAGCUUCUUCAUCUGUAUUGAACACACAGAGGAGCCUUUUCAAAGUGGGUAAUGGUCACUCUAACUUUAAAAAAGAAAGUAUCUAAGACAGGAGGAUAAGGGCUCUGGGAGUUCCCUGAGGGAUCAGAGCCAGGCAGAGCCUGGGCUGGGCUGAGUGUUGAAGGCCCAGUGGGUCUGGUCGGGUGACCAGGGGUGGGGACUGUAUCAGGGCAGGGGGUCCAGGGCGCCCUGUCGAGAAGUCAUCCUCCAGUGGGUGGAGUUGAGUGAUGUGCUGUGGCGCAGCUGAGAGUGAGAUUGGAGAGACUGGUGGUGCCUGACCCCCGUUUCCUGAUGGGGCCCAGGGCAGGGUUGUGGACAAAUGCUGGCCACGGAGCGCCAACAACUGCAAUAGAGUUCCACACAGCCAUCCAUCCCUUCAUUUGCUCAGCAAUACUCAAGGAGCAUUUGUUAGUGCCCAUGACAUUCCAGACCAACGUCAGAUGUGGGGACACAGCCGGAAAGAGAUCCAAGUCCUGGUCUCCAGGAGAACACAGACUAAGAGGCCUCCUGUGGUUGGCCCAGGGCUCUCUUGUGAGCUCUGUGACCCGGAGCAAGUGACUCACGUUUUCUGGACUUCUACCUCAUCAGUGGGGACAGUGACUGGACUUCCCUGUGGGGUUGAUUAGAGGAGUAACGACGUGUGAGAUUAUGACGGAAAAUAUUUAGCAUGCCCUGAGCACUAAUAAAUGGCAACAUUUUAUUGACGUUCA